UAAAACGGUGCAAAUCAAUUAUCCUACAUUUACCCUAUCCCCUCUAUUCCUUAGCCACCCAAUUCAUUCAUUACACUCUUCAUCUUCUCUCACUUACCUCACCGGUGGAUUGCUCACCAAUCUCACCAGAGAUUCUACUUUGUCACUCACUCUCAUCGACACUUCUAGUUUCUCCCUCAAUCACCCUAGUACCCACUCAUCACCUACUCACCCUUGUCGGCGUUCGGGUCUAGGUUCAACCAAAAGUCUCACCGUUCCACCGAUCUAACGGCUAACCUAUGUGCUCACCACCGCCUUCACUCGCCGACUAUCACUGUCAAAGCUAAGGAUAAAAGAUAUAAAUUUUGAAGUGAUAGUGUAAAACAAUGAUCUCAUAGAAGUUUUCCUUUAGUAGCAUGCGGAAUCCUCCACUUAAGGGCUACUGGACAUCAAUGAAAGGAGUUGCUUCAGUCUUCUAUCUCAAAGCUGCUGCUGCUGUUGCUUUUGCUGUUUUAGUUGCUGCUGCUCGUGUUGUUGCUGCUGCUACUCCUGUUGUUGUUGUUGCUGCUGCUACUACUUGUGCUGUUUCUGCUGCUGCUACUGCUACUCGUGCUAUUGCUGCCUACUUAACGCUAUUUAUGUUGAUGCCUUAGCCGUUGCUGCCCAAUCGACACCAUUAUUGUUGUUGCCUUCUAUACUUCUUUGGUUAUUAAAUCUCAGAGUUCAUAAUAUUGUCUGUUGUGGCUGUGCUCCUGCUGUAUUAUGUUAAGCUUCUGUAAUUUCUAAUGCUGUCCAAUUGUAAUUUUUAUUUUUAUGAUGAAAGUGUACUUUUACAGGCUAUUAUUAAUGGAAAUAUAAUUUUUUUUAUACAAUUGCAAAUAA
Molecule: long non-coding RNA, 861 nt
Organism: Chenopodium quinoa (quinoa)
Lineage: Eukaryota; Viridiplantae; Streptophyta; Magnoliopsida; Caryophyllales; Amaranthaceae
Exons: 2
Source: RefSeq, a predicted model, not a curated record